This 147-nucleotide small nuclear RNA is filed under the name Oesophagostomum dentatum (nodular worm). RNAcentral's name for it is "U4 spliceosomal RNA". It matches the Rfam family "U4 spliceosomal RNA". Rfam says of the family: U4 small nuclear RNA (U4 snRNA) is a component of the major U2-dependent spliceosome. The structure of U4 snRNA from yeast and human has been reported. Lineage: Eukaryota; Metazoa; Nematoda; Chromadorea; Rhabditida; Strongylidae. The record is from Rfam by way of RNAcentral.
GCACUUGCGCAGAGGCAAUAAGUGACCAAUGAGGCUCUGCCGAGGUGCGUUUAUUGCUGGUUGAUGACACGCAAACACUUGUGGCCUCUGCACUUUUACCUUACUUCUGUACUUCACAACAAGAACUUUUAGAGAUGAGAUUUCCCA